Molecule: long non-coding RNA, 2616 nt
Organism: Panicum virgatum (switchgrass)
Lineage: Eukaryota; Viridiplantae; Streptophyta; Magnoliopsida; Poales; Poaceae
Exons: 3
Source: RefSeq, a predicted model, not a curated record
UUCAUUUCCUUCUUUUUCCUCUUUCCUACCCACCCACUCGAGCGAGCAACAGAAGGCGAAGCGGGCGGCGAUGGCAGGGUGCACCGAGCUCGGUGAUUCUCAGUGUCAUUUCUCCACUGGAGUCUCCAUCGGCGACACCAACCAGUUCGAGGCUGCGGCAGCGACGUUUUGCCAGAUUUCUGCAGCAGCAGUGCUUUGUUGGACUCGUCCCACCAGCCCACACCCUUGAACAGCUUCUAGUUCAGCUUCCCAGCUUGGCUCCUAAUUAGCAGGCACCCUUUUCUGAUUAUUUUCUAUUUUUUUAUUUUUUGAGGUGAGCAGAUCAGGGGAUGCAUGGGUACUUUGUGUCAAGUGUAGCUGGUUCUCAUAUGAUCUGAUCACCUGAAAGUAGAGGUCCUCUGUAAAUGUAGCAAGUGGAUAUAUAUGGCUUCUGCUUUAGCUUUUAUCAGGGUGCCACCUAGUGCUAGCAGGCACCCCCUUUUCUUUCUGAUUUUUUUGUUAUGAUCUGGAGGUGAGCAGAUCGGGGGAUGCAUGGGUUAUGCCAUCAAUCUGUUUGGGUUGAAUUUGUGUGUGUUGCUUUUACGCUCUCAUUGAAAAUCUAUUUGAAUUUUCAUGUAGCUUUAAUUAAUCAACACGCUUAGAAAUGGUUAUUGGUAAUCACAUUCAUUUCCUCCAGCGUGGCCCUGUGAUCCUGGUGGUCCUUCGGGCAAAACUAUGGGAACAAUAUCCAUUUUGUUUGUUUUCCCUUUUCAGCUCUGUAUUUCCAUUUGUGUGAUUUGUAUAGCGAUCGAGCUGUUGGUGAUGUAGCGAAAUCCUUUUUAUGGGGGGGAUGAAUUCAUAUUCUUAUUCAUGUGUUUUUUUUCUUCCAAGGAGCAUUCCCCACCAAACCGCGCUGCUAGUUGCAUUCUUUUGAUGGUGUAGUUGCUAUCACCAAUGUAGGAAUGGAAUAUGAUGUAUUCUUCUUUUUCAUCAAUUAUUUAUGUUGUAACUUUCCUGUUCAUUUUUUGAGUCACUUUUAUUACACAAUUUGACAAUUAUAACUUGGGUUUUUCUGUUCAAUUGUUGAUCUGCUUUAGUUACAGUUCACUUGGUGUAGCAUGUAUUUGUGGCAUAUCAGCUAGCCUCUGCUAAAAAAAUUUCUAUCAUAAUUCUUCCCCAUUUCUUCACUACACAGCAGCACAGUUGUCUGCUUGGCAGUAGCAGUAGCUUCUUUUUUUAUUCAACAUGCCAUCUGAAUUGUUUAUAGUGUUAGAUGCCAUAAAUACUUCAUCUGAAUUGUUUAUAGUGUUAUUUGUUGAUUUUGCAUAUCUUAAUGCUUAUUUAAUGUAAACUGAUCAAUAUAUACCAGAAUAUGUUUUGUUGGUUCCUUGUGAUUUGCAUGUCGUAGUGCUUGUUCCUUGUUCAAUUGUUACCACAAAUUUACAAAGUAUUUCUGUAAUUUCACUUGACAUGAACUACAGUUUAUUUAAUUUGACCCAUAUAUACUACUAUUUGUAUACCAUCACCGAAGGUAUUUUGUGAAAUAGGAGGAAGAAGGGUUGAGUGAGACACUUAACAUGUCCAUCACUAGGAUAUUAACUCAGAAAAUUGUAGAAAUGCUCUUAGUAUUGAGUGUGUUAAAGACUUCAAUUAAUCUUAGUUUACUGACCAGCAAGAACGGCAUAACUAAUUUUUUUUAAUAAUUUGCAUGUUGUCAGAUUUAUAUAUGUGUGUUCCUCUCAGUUCGCAUCCUCCUAGCGAUUCUGCAUUCUUCCCAUGGAACAUGUUCUUUUGUUUUUUGAAUCACUAUCUAGUAGAAAAGCAUAUCUGUAGUACCUGUUCUGUAGCAGUAUUUCUGGUUUGGUUUAGUUAUCAUCAGAUGCUUUGCCUUCAUUGCUCCAAAAAUAUCACCACUUAAACUGCGUGUGUUAGUGUUUUUUUUCUGCUAGUGUUUUCUAUUCUCAGAUGCACUUACUUUGUCUAACACAAACACUGCACAUCGGCAGUAAGGAGUCAAUGCAUAGUCUUAAGAACCAGUACAUACCUAUUGAUUCGUUUUGUGUUUGUGAUAAUGCCAUUUUCUUCUUAAUGAGAUUGAAUUUUAAUGUUUUAUUAUAGCAUCCUAAUCAAUGUUGCAUAAUAAGGUUCGUAAUUCUUUACCAGUAUGUUAACUUUCAGAAGUAUUUUUUAUUUUAUUUAAUGUUCUUCCAUCUUUAGAUUUAUUACUACGUAGUCCUAGUAUAUUUUAUCUUUAGAUUUACCAGUAUAUUUUAGGACUGUGCAAUUAAGUGAAACUAAUAAAUUUUUUAAAUCACUUUUCAUUUAUCCUAGUUUGUUGUUGUUGUCAUCAUCUAAAAUGUGUUCAUUUGUCCGCAGAUAAAUAUUUUUUGUUAACCUGCUUUUCACCACCCCCUAAGACAAGGCCUCUACAACGCGAAUGAACUACCUUCAACGGCCUCUACAUGAAACAAAGCACGGAACAAUGAGCCUGGAAAAUUGUCAUUUUAACUUUUAUUAUGAGCUCAAAAAAACUACAUGUAAUUUUUAUUUAUUAUUUUUCCCCUAAUGUUCAUUGAAUUGUAAAUUAACUUUUAUUAUGCGCCCAAAAAAUUACAUGUAAUUUUUAUUUAUUAUUUC